RNAcentral lists this ribosomal RNA (505 nucleotides) under uncultured bacterium. RNAcentral's name for it is "partial 16S ribosomal RNA". It matches the Rfam family "Bacterial small subunit ribosomal RNA", at positions 28 to 507 of the family's 1533-position model. The record is from RNAcentral.
GACGAACGCUGGCGGCGUGCCUAAUACAUGCAAGUGGGACGCAAGGAAACACACUGUGCUUGCACACCGUGUUUUCUUGAGUCGCGAACGGGUGAGUAACGCGUAGGUAACCUGCCUAUUAGCGGGGGAUAACUAUUGGAAACGAUAGCUAAUACCGCAUAAUAUUAAUUAUUGCAUGAUAAUUGAUUGAAAGAUGCAAGCGCAUCACUAGUAGAUGGACCUGCGUUGUAUUAGCUAGUUGGUAAGGUAAGAGCUUACCAAGGCGACGAUACAUAGCCGACCUGAGAGGGUGAUCGGCCACACUGGGACUGAGACACGGCCCAGACUCCUACGGGAGGCAGCAGUAGGGAAUCUUCGGCAAUGGACGAAAGUCUGACCGAGCAACGCCGCGUGAGUGAAGAAGGUUUUCGGAUCGUAAAGCUCGGUUGUAAGUCAAGAACGUGUGUGAGAGUGGAAAGUUCACACAGUGACGGUAGCUUACCAGAAAGGGACGGCUAACUACGUG